AUUGAACGCUGGCGGCAUGCCUAACACAUGCAAGUCGAACGGUAACGCGGAGAGCUUGCUCUCUGGCGACGAGUGGCGGACCGGGUGAGGUAAUACUUAGGAAUCUACCCAGUAGUGGGGGACAACAUUCGGAAACGGAUGCUAAUACCGCAUACGCACUACGGUGGAAAGUGGGGGACCUUCGGGCCUCACGCUAUUGGAUGAGCCUAAGUCGGAUUAGCUUGUUGGUGAGGUAAUGGCUCACCAAGGCGACGAUCCGUAGCUGGUCUGAGAGGACGAUCAGCCACACUGGGACUGAGACACGGCCCAGACUCCUACGGGAGGCAGCAGUGGGGAAUAUUGGACAAUGGGCGCAAGCCUGAUCCAGCAAUGCCGCGUGUGUGAAGAAGGCCUGCGGGUUGUAAAGCACUUUCAGUAGAGAAGAAAAGCCUAGGGAUAAUACCCCUGAGUCUUGACGUAACCUACAGAAGAAGCACCGGCUAACUCCGUG
RNAcentral lists this ribosomal RNA (490 nucleotides) under uncultured bacterium. Its description in RNAcentral is "bacterial SSU rRNA". It matches the Rfam family "Bacterial small subunit ribosomal RNA", at positions 30 to 507 of the family's 1533-position model. The record is from RNAcentral.